Long non-coding RNA from Cavia porcellus (domestic guinea pig), 584 nucleotides. RefSeq lists it as uncharacterized. The record is from RefSeq and is a predicted model, not a curated record. NCBI's taxonomy places the organism in Eukaryota, Metazoa, Chordata, Mammalia, Rodentia, Caviidae. The transcript has 3 exons.
GCUCCCUUGUGAGUUGAUUAUCUAGGGGCUUCUGUCACAGUGAGGGGAGCUGCCACAGCAAGACUGGUAUCUCUGCUCCAAUAAACCUCUCAAGAUACUUACAGUGGAAAUAUUCUGGGAGGAGUUAGAUAAAUCGCUUUUAUCUGCAGCCUUGCCUCCUCUGCCAGCUAAAACAAUGUCACAUGCUUUUAUGUGACAUGAAACCUUCACAAAACAGACUCUUAAAGACAGUUUACAGAAUGGCCGCUUGAAUUAAUAGGAUGGAAAUGAUAGAACCAAGAACAGAAUAAGGAAGUGUUUCGGGGGAAAAAUCUCACAGCCCUGGGAGAAAAUUGGGGCUGUUGCUGUUUGAAGAUUUGAAUGCUCACAAGGCCACAGGACAUGAAAACCUAUUGGGUUACAGGACAGCAGAAAUGAUGCUGAAGUUUUUUGAGGUCAAAGAUCUUGCCUACAUUGUCUAAUCUUCCACUGGUCACAUCUGGACUGAAAUCAAGCUCCUGCCUGACUCCUCCUGAUGUGUAAGCCCCUAGAAUGAGAAUCACUGUGCUGUGUUUGCUGGCUGCUGUCUGGCUCGGGAAAGGAAA